RNAcentral lists this ribosomal RNA (275 nucleotides) under uncultured bacterium. RNAcentral describes it as "partial 16S ribosomal RNA". It matches the Rfam family "Bacterial small subunit ribosomal RNA", at positions 81 to 354 of the family's 1533-position model. The record is from RNAcentral.
CGUCCCGCCGGCGACCGGCGCACGGGUGAGUAACACGUAUGCAACCUGGCCGCCACAGGGGGAUAACCCGCGGAAACGCGGCCUAAUACCCCGUGACGCCACCGGAGGGCAUCCUCCGGUGGCCAAAGGAGCGAUCCGGUGGCGGAUGGGCAUGCGGCGCAUUAGCUAGACGGCGGGGUGACGGCCCACCGUGGCGACGAUGCGUAGGGGUUCUGAGAGGAAGGCCCCCCACACUGGGACUGAGACACGGCCCAGACUCCUACGGGAGGCAGCAG